RNAcentral lists this transfer RNA (68 nucleotides) under Rattus norvegicus (Norway rat). It matches the Rfam family "tRNA". From Rfam's summary of the family: Transfer RNA (tRNA) molecules are approximately 80 nucleotides in length. Their secondary structure includes four short double-helical elements and three loops (D, anti-codon, and T loops). Further hydrogen bonds mediate the characteristic L-shaped molecular structure. tRNAs have two regions of fundamental functional importance: the anti-codon, which is responsible for specific mRNA codon recognition, and the 3' end, to which the tRNAs corresponding amino acid is attached (by aminoacyl-tRNA synthetases). tRNAs cope with the degeneracy of the genetic code in two manners: having more than one tRNA (with a specific anti-codon) for a particular amino acid; and 'wobble' base-pairing, i.e. permitting non-standard base-pairing at the 3rd anti-codon position. The record is from Rfam by way of RNAcentral. Lineage: Eukaryota; Metazoa; Chordata; Mammalia; Rodentia; Muridae.
GGGGAUUUGGCUCAGUGGUAGAGCGCUUGCCUAGGAAGCACAAGGUCCUGGGUUCGGUCCCCAGCCCG